Molecule: ribosomal RNA, 691 nt
Filed under: Flavobacterium sp. S135.08.SCU.W.Gill.N
Lineage: Bacteria; Pseudomonadati; Bacteroidota; Flavobacteriia; Flavobacteriales; Flavobacteriaceae
Also listed under: 1 other name
Description: bacterial SSU rRNA
Rfam family: Bacterial small subunit ribosomal RNA
Source: RNAcentral
AGUCGAGGGGUAUAGUUCUUCGGAACUAGAGACCGGCGCACGGGUGCGUAACGCGUAUGCAAUCUACCUUUUACAGAGGGAUAGCCCAGAGAAAUUUGGAUUAAUACCUCAUAGCAUAGCAGUCUCGCAUGAGAUCACUAUUAAAGUCACAACGGUAAAAGAUGAGCAUGCGUCCCAUUAGCUAGUUGGUAAGGUAACGGCUUACCAAGGCUACGAUGGGUAGGGGUCCUGAGAGGGAGAUCCCCCACACUGGUACUGAGACACGGACCAGACUCCUACGGGAGGCAGCAGUGAGGAAUAUUGGACAAUGGGCGCAAGCCUGAUCCAGCCAUGCCGCGUGCAGGAUGACGGUCCUAUGGAUUGUAAACUGCUUUUAUACGAGAAGAAACACUCCAACGUGUUGGAGCUUGACGGUAUCGUAAGAAUAAGGAUCGGCUAACUCCGUGCCAGCAGCCGCGGUAAUACGGAGGAUCCAAGCGUUAUCCGGAAUCAUUGGGUUUAAAGGGUCCGUAGGCGGUUUAGUAAGUCAGUGGUGAAAGCCCAUCGCUCAACGGUGGAACGGCCAUUGAUACUGCUAAACUUGAAUUAUUAGGAAGUAACUAGAAUAUGUAGUGUAGCGGUGAAAUGCUUAGAGAUUACAUGGAAUACCAAUUGCGAAGGCAGGUUACUACUAAUGGAUUGACGCUGAUGG